This is a non-coding RNA of Nothobranchius furzeri (turquoise killifish), 7529 nucleotides long. The record is from RefSeq and is a predicted model, not a curated record. NCBI's taxonomy places the organism in Eukaryota, Metazoa, Chordata, Actinopteri, Cyprinodontiformes, Nothobranchiidae.
AUAUCAGACAUUGUGGCUCAAAACCAAUGGCUCUGUUUUUGAUUGGUUCCCCAGCUGUUAAGGCUUUCUCAUUUACUUUUCAAGUCUUUUUUAUUUUUUUCCUUCCACUGAAUUUUCUACUCCUUUUGACGUCAGGUUUUUUUCUAGUUGUUAUUCUUUCCCUUUUAGGUUUCUUUCUUCUUCUUUUAAAUUAUUUUCAUUUAUAGUUCCUCUGCUGUACUCUGCUCCCACUCACAGCUCCUCCUCAUAACUAGUCCUCUGUCAUCUCUCACUCGUCAGCGUAUACGGUUCAGUUUCAGUCAUACUCUGCUGGUUUCAGCGUCCUAGCUACCUGAUUUUUGGCAUUAAAAUACUUUUGAGUUUUACACUUUUGUGUUUUGGAUCCUUUCCAAAGCCGACAGUAUUAGGAAAAUAAAAAUAAGAUACGUUAAAUGACUAGUAUGUGGCAAUAUAUAAGCCUUAUAUGAAAUAUUAGACUGAAAAAAUACAAUAGAUUUAUUCUAUUGUAGAGAGGAAUGUUUAUUUUCUCGUUGUUUUGCUGCCCCUCCUCCUCUCCCAGCUAGGGAGAGGAGGAGGGACUCCCUGCUAUCACAGCGCUUCAUUGCCUUGCUGCCAACCCUCCGUACCCGGCAGCGACAACGGUCGUGUGAGUUUGAAAAGUCUGCUGAAGAAGAGCGGAUGAAAUUGUCUGAGAAUAUUCCAGAAUGUCUACCAGAAAAAGGCCAAUGUUACUUACUUACUGCCCUGCAUGACUAAAGGGGAAGCAGCGUGAGCUCUGCAUAGAGCGUAAUGCUGCGGCAAUUUUUAUUUUUAUUUUUAUUUUUUCAGGUUAACUUUUCAAUACGAGGCCACGAGGCACACAGUAAACUUAGGAAGGAUGUUGAGGGGAAACAUAAUUUUGCAAUUGCUUAUUUUACCGUUCAACUUACCACUGACACAACAAAUAUUCUUAAAACUGAAGACUUACCUCCUACUUCCUCAUCACCGUCGUCUCUGCUUGACUGAAUUGCUUCUGCUGCUCUGCUGCAUGUGUGCUGUGACGGUGGCUCCACCCCCCGAGGAGAGGAGCCACACAACAUGAGUUCAUAAAGGUGGCGCCAUCUGCUUGAUAGGUAGCACAAUAUCGGCUAUAUCGGCCGUCUUUUUGGCCGAUGGCCGAUAGCCGAUAGUGUUAAUGACCCCAAUAUCGGCCGGCCGAUAUAUCAGUCGGGCCCUAGUUUUUAACGAACAUUCUCACAACGAAGAUGAAGAUACUACAAGUAAAGUACUAGAUAAAUGUUACGAGAAAUACUUUGAACUUAAGUCCAAAAUGUAAAAGCAGGAAUGACAUUAAUUUUAAACGAGGUUAUUUUUGCUUCGGACAUGAAGGUGUUUCGAGUUACCUUGACAUGUUUUGACCGUCGUCUGCGGUCUUCAUCAGAAAUGUCCCAGAUGUUUGUGUGACGCGUCUUUAUCAGCUGUUCUUUUCUGAUGAAGACCGCAGACGACGGUCGAAACAUGUCAAGGUAACUUAAAACACCUUUAUGUCCGAAGCGAAAAGAAUCUUGCUUAAUGUUAAAAAAGAGGACAUAAUGAACAUUGUAAAGGAUUUACAAGAAAGUUUUGGAAAAUGUGGAGUCAAGGCUUUUCGCUGCUUGGAGAGGCUAGAAAAAACACGGGCCCAUUUCCGGAACCAUCUAGUAUUCAACCUGCGAUGCCGAGAUGAGAACAUCACACCCAAGAGCAUAAACAUCAAGAACCCGAUCCCAACAAACAAUGCCAAAAAAUCAUGGAAAGAACAAAGAAAGGAUACGAUGCAUGGCCAACAAACUGGACAAGAUCAACACGCAAAUCCAGGAUCAGAAAAAAAACUUCACGGAACUAUUUCCUAGCCCGGACGAGACACAGACAGCCAUCAACAUACACCUGAAAAACACACACGAAGAGGAAUAUAUAAAAACAAAAACCCGACAAAUAAAGAAACUUGAAAACCUCAUAAACAUGAAAAAAGGAAUGAAAAGACAAGAGACGACAAACAACAAAUUGGUAUGUAACCUGUCAGCUCACGCAUUAACAGAAACUGAACAGAAAGUCUUAAAUCGAGUUUUAAACUAUGCAGUCACACCCAAACAAAUACCAAAAGAGGAGUUCAUUUUAGCUGCAGAAAUAGCAUGUAAAAAAAUAAAAGAAGAGGGGAAAAAAGCAGAGCUAAGAAAUGAUGUUGCAGGCAUUUUGAAGGCCGCAAAAUUACAUCAAAGUAACAUCACAAGAGAAGAUCAAAAAGCCAUAAAUGCUCUAAAAAAGACACAUCAGUAACAAUCCUACCAGCUGACAAAGGGAGAACCACAGUAAUAAUUGGCACGGAAACAUAUGAACAGAAGAUGCAAACAAUGUUAAAGGCAUCAACAUAUGUACUGGACAAUUCGUGUCCAUAGGCUCCAAUUAUAAGUUUUUGUGCCAAAAUGGGAGGUGGCCACCACCGCCAUUUUACCCGUGUCACAGGUUCCGCCAAGCCCAGACAAUUCCAAAAAAGGGAAAAGAGGUGGAGCUGAGGGUGGUGCUGUAAGGCUGGGAUCAAAUGACGACACCCGUCGAACUGAAGCGAUGUAGCUACAAACUAACCCAAAGCUAACUCGAAGGUGGGAGCUAGGCUAACGGAGGUAGCUACCUAACUACAACCGGAGUUACCGUAAAUCCUCUAAUACAGGCCCGGGCCUGUAUUUGACUCAAGCUCAUCAAGCUCCAGGCCUUUAUUGGAAGGAGGGCCAGAAUUAGAGGCAGGCCUCUAUUUCUAUUUGAGCAAAAUGAACUAAUGGUUCGCUGGAGUUUUUGACAAUUAAAAUUGCGCUCACAUUUUCAAAGUUAAACACAUUUAACAGAUGCACAGCAAAUGUUUUAUUUGUGGACGGAAAUGACAGGAAAUGUGGGUUUAGAGGUGGCAAGCGCAUGAAGAGGUGGAGGAGGAUGAGAGACAAAUUUGUCUGUUAAAAAGUCUCUUGUAUACAAAAAAACAAUAUAAACACACAAUCUUUGACCGGAUACAUAACAGGAUACCACAGAACAGCGCUACGCCCUCUGUUGUCCUGGUGGGGAAUUGCUUUGCAACACUCCCCAGGAGACGGAGAUGUGUGAGGGCAAAACAUCUCUGUCCGUGCGUGCGUGUCUCUCCCUUUUUGAGCUGACGGAGAAGCAUGAAUCAGGCUUUAGGGGAAAUGCGUAACGCACCCUUACGGAGUCGCAUAGACCACUGAACAUGGUAGGAGGAUGGCACCCAAAAGAAACUAUCUGUUUGGAGCAGAGAAAAGAAAGACAAAGAAACUGAAGGAAGAGAAAAACAAAACAAAGGUACGUUUUCAAGCCCAAUAAUCUAUUUUUUUUUUUUUUUUUUUGGUCAUGAUUAACCAGGCCGUUGGUUCAGUUUAUCAGUUUGGUUAGCUAACUGGCUAGCUUUGCAGCCAAGUGAGUGCUAAUAUUGUGAGCUACUGUAGAAAAAACAUCUGUUAAAAUAUUGACAAUAGACAUCGGUUCAAAAUGAUCCGGUGAACAGUUAAGUAUUGAAUUUUACUCAUGGCCUGUAUGAUAUGAAAACUUAAGCUGUAGCCAAGCAGGUUGUAAUGUGGAACUAUUACAUCCCUCAGCUCGCUAGGAGUUAUGUUUGGUGAGGGAGCAAUAAAGUUUGUGUGUGGGUUUAAUACUAAAGCAGUAAAUGUGUCCAACAAAGGAUUUUUAUUAAACAAAACAAAGAGCUGGUAUAUAGAUAAGGAAAAACGGACUAACAAAAAGCGCCAAGCCAAAAGGGUUUGGGAAGAGGGAAACUAGUUAACUGAAAUACUCUUAAGCCCCCUUCAGACAGGCCAUGAAAAACGGAAAUGUUCCGGAAUCUGUCCGUAAGACCUUUCUGUCUGAAUACAAACAUCCGGAUAAUGUGUUCCGGAAUUUAUCCGGACGAAGCCCCUAGUAACAGGUCCAGACUUGUUACGGACAGGGUGGCUGAUUCAGACUGGUGAGGUAAAGUUCUGGACAAGAGGGAGGGGGAGGAGGGGGGGACCGGGGGACGCUGUGCGCACCUAUAUAGCCCGCUGCUGUAGCAUGCGGCGAACCACGGCAGCUCGCCUCCUACGGUACCGCCUAGACGCGCGACGGAGCGCUUCACACCGCUUCAGUGAUUCCUUUAACCAUUGAGCUUCAUCAUCCAGGUCUCUUAUGCGUCUUCGUGUGCGCAGAAUUAUGCUUAAGCGCCUCGUGAUUUUUAUCUUGAGAGGCGCUAUAGAAACGAUAUUUUCUUCUUCUUCUUCUUAACAUAAGUCCGAUUCUCCCCACCCCCACUCCACCCCCCCGCUGCCGUCAGACAUCUGGAACUUUUCCCUGCUGUGUGAACGCAGCCGAAAGGACAAGUUCCGGUACAAAAGUGGUGUGUCUGAAAACACAGUUCCGGUUAAAAACCGGAUUGAAUUGUCCGCAAAUGUUCCAGAAUGUCUAUCUGAAAAGGGCUUUACGAUAAUCCUAAACAAAACGGGAGCCGUCCUGAAAAGCAGUGACGCUCGGGCAAAGACAGUCGAAGUCGGGGCCGGUCUAAGGUCUAUCCAAAAGUCAAUCCGAAUCUAAGUUUACUAACGAACGAAGCUAACUCAAUGAGCACUACGAGGAGAAGAGAAAAGAGUGAACACUUCCGUGCCCACACUUCCCCGUAACUUCCUCCCAGACUGAGGGCAAGAGAGCAGCUUUUAACAGCUGAUCCAUGAUUGCCCAUUACACACAGCUGAGCGGAAGACAGACGAGGCAAGAGCCACUGAGGCCAUUUUGUGGCCGCAAAGGGGCAGAGCACGUAACAGGAACAGGUAUUUAAGCUUGGCUAUACCUCUGCGUCAUAGUGAUCUGUCCGCAGUCCGUCGCGAACGAAACGGCUCUCAGCCGGCUCGUUGAUGUGACCGAUAACAGCCGACUCCCUCUUGGAGGAUCUGGCUCCCGUGACAGACUGUACCUGCAGGCCCUGGAGCCGUUAAAAAUAGGCAAAAUGCAUGCAUGGCGCGCAUGCACAUACACAGCUUGCAGCUGAUUGCCUUGAGACCGGGAUAGGAGGGUGGGGGGAUGCUGCGCUCCUUCGAUGUGCUGAAAGCAGGGAGGUGGGUGCCACAAAAUGACUUGAAGGCACUUAUUACAUUAACUGAUGGGAGCUGUAAAUAUAGGUGGGGCAGAUUUGCAAAAAAGGAGAAAGGAACAAACAGCUCUACAGAAAGACGAGGAAAUAAGUGAAAACAGGACAUGCAGGUAGAUUUGGACACAUUUUAACUACAGUAACAAAAGUGUGUAUGAUUAAGGAUAGGAAAUGGAAGUUGUUUAUUAACUAGGUCUAUGCCCAUGUGUAACAUUUUGCAGGAGCGCUUCUGAAGUAUUUUGAAGCAAAAGCAGCACAAUCUGUUGAAGCAAGUAGCGGUGCUUCCUCAGUUGAAGACACUGCAAGUUCAUCCUCUGUAUGGCUGUCGGCUUUUGAGAGUGGAGAGCACCUGCCAGCAGCCAAGAGCCAGAAGAAGAACCUACCAACAGCUGGGAGCGAGAAGGGGCACUUACCAGCAGCUGACAGUGAGGAGCACCUACCAACAACAGCAUCAACUAGUCUGGAUUUUUCAACAUCAACUGCUGUACCAGGAGUAGAUGCUGCACCUUCCACAAAUUCCAGUCAUCAACAUGGAUUUGCAUCUCCAGUUGACCCACCUGACUGGUCUCAUAUGUUGUCUGACUCAGAAAGGACUGAUCUGGUAAGCAGAAGACCAUUUUCUGUAAGGGAAAACUUUAGUUCCCAAAGAAGCCUGAUGGCCGAAGCUUUCACUUUCACUACACAUAAACAGUUGGUAAAUGGGGAAAAAAUGAAAUGAAGUUGGCUCACCUACUCAAAAAGAAAGGAUGCAGUCUACUGCUUCUCUUGUAAACUGUUCUCCAAAAAGUCAACAGAGGGACCGUGUGACUGGGUCAACAUAGGUGCACUGCUUAAACAACAUCACUCUUCAACUGCUGUUAAGGUGUAUGUCUCUAAGUUUUGUGCAUUUAGGUCUUCUAUACUUGUUUAAUAUUUUGUUAAUAUUUUUUGUAAAUAGAUAAUGUCAAUGUCAUUUUGUUUUGUUUUGUAAUGAUUGCACAUUUCACAUUUUACACGUUAAAUUAAUAACAAGAUAUUAAACCUAACUUUUUUUUACAGUAAAGUCGGUGUUUGCCUGCUUAUGUUACUUCCAAAUACUUAAGUUAGUAAGCCAUAUUCAACACUGCAUUUCAAAACACAAACUAAAUUGAAUAUUUUUGUCAGAUUGCUCCAUGUUUACUAUUAAAAUUAAUAGUCAUAAAAACACCUUUAUGAUAUUAGCCAAUUACAAAUUUUGCUAAUGAUAGUGAGUAUGUUAUACACAUUAUAUUGCCUAUGAAUGAUCAUUUGAUUAUUGAGCACCUGCACUAUAGGGGCCCCCAAAUUAAAAUCUGCUCAGGGCUCCAAAGAGGCUUGGGCCGGCCCUGAAAUCGACACACCUUCAUGUCUGAAGUGAAAAGAACCUUGCUUAAUAUUAAAACUAGGGGACAUAAUGAACAUUGUAAAGGAGCAGGAAUGACACGUUUGGUGCUAUGGGGGUUAGCAUAACUGCAUUCCAAGCAUUAGCCUGACCCGUGUUGGGUUCCCAGCCUACGCAGGUGUUUUUGGUCCCAGAAAAGUUGUUUUCAGUGUGAGUGGAUUUGACUAUCAGAUCAUUCUAAACUAUCAUCAGCUGCCUUGUACUUUUGACAGAAAGAAGUAAAAUAAGUAUUCAAUCAGAGCAGGUUGAAGUAAAGGAUUUUUCAUGUGGCCAAAACAGCGGUAAUAAACAGGUCUCACCAGUGUAACCUUUAACUCUUAAUGGAAGAAGAAAGAGUUUUCAUAGAGCGCCUCUCAAGGUAAAAGCCACGAGACACUUCACUCAAAACAAUAAAAACACAAUUAACAAGAAUCAUAAUAAAAAAUGGGGAGAAAAGGAAAAACAGAUUAAAAUGGGAAGAAAAAUGGUAAUCAUGGGAUCCCAAAGAGAACGGACAAACAGCAGCAUGAAGAGGAGGUCCCACCAAAGCCUGAACAGGUGUGUUUAAAGGAGACCACUGAGUCCACUGGUCUCAGGCGGAGAGAGGUCCAGAGUCUGGGGGCCACAGCAGGAGAUGGUCUGUCACCUUUGACCUUUAGCCUGGUGCUGCACAACCAGUAGGCUUUGGUCACUGGACUUCAGGGACCUGCUGGUUCAGAGUCAGGUUCUACUUUUCUUGCAUGCCACAGACAGAGACAUAAUUCCUCUGAAAGCAUCUCUAAGAAACCCUGAAACAAACUCUGUGUCGUGGCUUUAGGCUCUGAGGUUUUAGGUUUCACUUCCUGCUUCGGUCCGAUUCACAGAAUUAAACCUUCUCUGACCCAAAAACAUACAAACCUGCCUUACCGCAGCUGGAGAGCCCAUAGAGCGUAGGGAGUUUUGUUGUGGAGAAAACUUAACAGAAUGUGUGUGUGUGCGCGCGCGCGCCAGACUCUAGUCUGACUUGUUUGUGUCUUU